GACGAACGCUGGCGGCGUGCUUAACACAUGCAAGUCGAACGGAAAGGCCCUGCUUGCAGGGUACUCGAGUGGCGAACGGGUGAGUAACACGUGGGUGAUCUGCCCUGCACUUCGGGAUAAGCCUGGGAAACUGGGUCUAAUACCGGAUAGGAGCCAUUUUUAGUGUGAUGGUUGGAAAGUUUUUUCGGUGUAGGAUGAGCUCGCGGCCUAUCAGCUUGUUGGUGGGGUAAUGGCCUACCAAGGCGGCGACGGGUAGCCGGCCUGAGGGUGGACGGCCACAUUGGGACUGAGAUACGGCCCAGACUCCUACGGGAGGCAGCAGUGGGGAAUAUUGCACAAUGGGCGCAAGCCUGAUGCAGCGACGCCGCGUGGGGGAUGACGGCCUUCGGGUUGUAAACUCCUUUCGCUAGGGACGAAGCUUUUUGUGACGGUACCUAGAGAAGAAGCACCGGCUAACUACGUG
RNAcentral lists this ribosomal RNA (463 nucleotides) under uncultured bacterium. Its description in RNAcentral is "partial 16S ribosomal RNA". It matches the Rfam family "Bacterial small subunit ribosomal RNA", at positions 28 to 507 of the family's 1533-position model. The record is from RNAcentral.